Tripterygium wilfordii is the source of this 111-nucleotide small nucleolar RNA. RefSeq annotates it as small nucleolar RNA snoR113. Lineage: Eukaryota; Viridiplantae; Streptophyta; Magnoliopsida; Celastrales; Celastraceae. The transcript has a single exon. The record is from RefSeq and is a predicted model, not a curated record.
UGACCAUGAUGACAAAAAGGCCGGACUUACAGCUGCUACCAUACCAUCGCUUGAGUGGGUUGGUUGGUAGUAGAUUGACGAAAGUCACAAUGAAGGUGUUUGCUGAGCCAG